GUCUAUGGCCAUACCACCCUGAACGUGCCUGAUCUCAGAAGCUAAGCAGGGUUGGGCCUGGUUAGUACUUCAAUAGGAGACCGCCUAGGAAUACAGGCUGCUGUAGGCU
RNAcentral lists this ribosomal RNA (109 nucleotides) under Pteropus alecto (black flying fox). Lineage: Eukaryota; Metazoa; Chordata; Mammalia; Chiroptera; Pteropodidae. The record is from RNAcentral.